Long non-coding RNA from Oncorhynchus keta (chum salmon), 967 nucleotides. RefSeq lists it as uncharacterized. The record is from RefSeq and is a predicted model, not a curated record. The transcript is spliced from 3 exons. Lineage: Eukaryota; Metazoa; Chordata; Actinopteri; Salmoniformes; Salmonidae.
CUAUUAGACAGUCUACUACAGGUCUGGUGUUUAUCUAUUAGACAGUCUACUACAGGUCUGGUGUUUAUCUAUUAGACAGUCAGUCUACUACAGGUCUGGUGUUUAUCUAUUAGACAGUCAGUCUACUACAGGUCUGGUGUUUAUCUAUUAGACAGUCAGUCUACUACAGGUCUGGUGUUUAUCUAUUAGACAGUCUACGACAGGUCUGGUGUUUAUCUAUUAGACAGUCAGUCUACUACAGGUCUGGUGUUUAUCUAUUAGACAGUCUACGACAGGUCUGGUGUUUAUCUAUUAGACAGUCUACUACAGGUCUGGUGUUUAUCUAUUAGACAGUCGGUCUACUACAGGUCUGGUGUUUAUCUAUUAGACAGUCUACGACAGGUCUGGUGUUUAUCUAUUAGACAGUCUACUACAGGUCUGGUGUUUAUCUAUUAGACAGUCGGUCUACUACAGGUCUUGUGUUUAUCUAUUAGACAGUCUACUACAGGUCUGGUGUUUAUCUAUUAGACAGUCAGUCUACUACAGGUCUGGUGUUUAUCUAUUAGACAGUCUACUACAGGUCUGGUGUUUAUCUAUUAGACAGUCAGUCUACUACAGGUCUGGUGUUUAUCUAUUAGACAGUCUACUACAGGUCUGGUGUUUAUCUAUUAGACAGUCAGUCUACUACAGGUCUAGUGUUUAUCUAUUAGACAGUCUACUACAGGUCUGGUGUUUAUCUAUUAGACAGUCUACUACAGGUCUGGUGUUUAUCUAUUAGACAGUCAGUCUACUACAGGUCUGGUGUUUAUCUAUUAGACAGUCAGUCUACUACAGGUCUGGUGUUUAUCUAUUAGACAGUCUACUACAGGUCUGGUGUUUAUCUAUUAGACAGUCAGUCUACUACAGGUCUGGUGUUUAUCUAUUAGACAGUCAGUCUACUACAGGUCUGGUGUUUAUCUAUUAGACAGUCUACUACAGGUCUGGUGUU